CUUCACGACUGAAAGCAAACCAGGCUUUUAUUCUCCAGGGAUAUCAGUAUUUCUGAAGAUCAAGGCUACGUUUUUGACAGUUGAACAAUGACGUUCUGCUACCACGUUUCCUCCUGGACUUAUAAGGGCUGCUUCAGUAACAGGAAUCUUGAACUCUCCCCACUGCUGAGUUUUGCUAUGUGCGUUGCCACUGUGACCCACUUUCCUUUCUUAGAUAAAAGCUGCCGACAAAGCAUCAUCGUUUUCCUUCCCUCUGCUCCCACAUAUUCUCCUUCCGAAACACUUUCUUCCUCUAAAUGAAUUCUUGCGCGUGACUGUUGCCAUAAGUUACUGAUCUGCUGGAAAAAAAAAAAGCCUCUUUAAAGCCUUCAAUUGAGAUUUCAGAAGAAUGAAAGUCAUAAUGAGAAAAAAAAGAAACCAUAAAGCAAAAGUUAAUGGAGGCAGCCACACAACCACAGGUCUCUCUGCAGGUUCUGGAACAUUAACUACUAAUGCAGAGAUAAAGAGCCAUGCUGUUGCUGUUUUCUUUUUUAAAGCUGCUGUUCUCCUUCGUUUCACUUGGGAACCAGCCACGAACAGAAACGCAGACUGCCAGUCGCAAGAGGUAAAUGGCAUUUUUGAAAUCCAGGAGCUCUACGUGGUUGAAGAACUUCCUUGAACUUCAGCGCCUUUCAGCAGCGCGCUGAGCACUUCUGUGUCCUGACCCAAAAUUGUGUUACUGAUCUCAGCAAACUGCUAUGGCUACACAGAGAUAUUAGCCUGAGUCCCAGAAGCAGCAUCAUUAUGGUACUUUGCCUGGGAUAAUUAUCUUCUUAACAUGGGUAAUUAGGCUGGUUGCCACACCAUGCUGACUCAGCUCUGCCGUGCUUGCCCGUGGAUCACGCUCAGCUCAGAGCUAACCAGGAAGAACUCUGUUGGACAUGACAAAGUAUCACCAAAGGGGAAGAAUAACAGAGUGAGAUGAACGGGGACUCUCAGUCCACUGGGACUGAACAAGUGCAGCUUUGCUCGUGAGCUCAGCUCAUGUCGCAUGAACACG
Long non-coding RNA from Cuculus canorus (common cuckoo), 1039 nucleotides. RefSeq lists it as uncharacterized. Lineage: Eukaryota; Metazoa; Chordata; Aves; Cuculiformes; Cuculidae. The transcript is spliced from 3 exons. The record is from RefSeq and is a predicted model, not a curated record.